GAUCCUGCUCAGGACGAACGCUGGCGGCGCGCCUAACACAUGCAAGUCGAACGAGAGAUGAGGAGCUUGCUCUUCAAAUCGAGUGGCGAACGGGUGAGUAACGCGUGAGGAACCUGCCUCAAAGAGGGGGACAACAGUUGGAAACGACUGCUAAUACCGCAUAAGCCCACGGCUCGGCAUCGAGCAGAGGGAAAAGGAGUGAUCCGCUUUGAGAUGGCCUCGCGUCCGAUUAG
RNAcentral lists this ribosomal RNA (233 nucleotides) under uncultured bacterium. RNAcentral describes it as "partial 16S ribosomal RNA". It matches the Rfam family "Bacterial small subunit ribosomal RNA", at positions 15 to 244 of the family's 1533-position model. The record is from RNAcentral.